CCUACGGGAGGCUGCAGUGGGGAAUAUUGCGCAAUGGGCGAAAGCCUGACGCAGCGACGCCGCGUGAGGGAUGAAGGUCUUCGGAUCGUAAACCUCUGUCAGCAGGGAAGAACGGUCACUGUGCUAAUCAGCAGUGAAUUGAUGGUACCUGCAAAGGAAGCACCGGCUAACUACGUGCCAGCAGCCGCGGUAAAACGUAGGGGGCGAGCGUUGUCCGGAAUGACUGGGCGUAAAGGGUGCGUAGGCGGCAUAAUAAGUUAGAAGUGAAAUACCCAGAGCUUAACUCGGGUGCUGCUUCUAAGACUGUUGAGCUUGAGGGCGGGAGAGGUUAAUGGAAUUCCUAGUGUAGCGGUGGAAUGCGUAGAUAUUAGGAGGAACACCAGAGGCGAAGGCGAUUAACUGGACCGUAACUGACGCUGAGGCACGAAAGUGUGGGUAGCAAACAGGAUUAGAUACCCCUGUAGUC
Molecule: ribosomal RNA, 466 nt
Filed under: uncultured bacterium
Lineage: Bacteria
Description: partial 16S ribosomal RNA
Rfam family: Bacterial small subunit ribosomal RNA
Source: RNAcentral